AGUGAAUGCUAGGGGUAUGCUUAACACAUGCAAGUUGAACGGAACACUUGUUUAGUAGCGCACGGGUGAGUAAUAUAGGAGAACCAAGCACUAAGUUCGGAACAAGAGAUACGUCUGUAUAAAUGCCGGAUAUUGAAAGAUUUAUCGCUUAGUGUGGGGCUCCUAUGGGAUUAGGUUGUUGGUUGUGUAAUGGACAACCAAGCCGGUGAUCCCUACGUUGGUCUGAGAGGAUGAUCAGCCACACUGGGACGUGAAACAAAGGCCCACGACUUCCACUGGAGGGCGAGCAGUGAGGAGGUAUUGGACAAUAGGGCGGCAAGACUUG
RNAcentral lists this ribosomal RNA (325 nucleotides) under uncultured bacterium. RNAcentral's name for it is "bacterial SSU rRNA". It matches the Rfam family "Bacterial small subunit ribosomal RNA", at positions 29 to 385 of the family's 1533-position model. The record is from RNAcentral.